RNAcentral lists this ribosomal RNA (465 nucleotides) under uncultured bacterium. Its description in RNAcentral is "partial 16S ribosomal RNA". It matches the Rfam family "Bacterial small subunit ribosomal RNA", at positions 28 to 507 of the family's 1533-position model. The record is from RNAcentral.
GACGAACGCUGGCGGCGUGCUUAACACAUGCAAGUCGAACGGUGAACUCCGCUUGCGGGGGGAUCAGUGGCGAACGGGUGAGUAACACGUGGGCAACCUGCCCUCAGCUCUGGGAUAACUCCAAGAAAUUGGGGCUAAUACCGGAUAUGACCGCUGACCGCAUGGUCUGGUGGUGGAAAGAUUUAUCGGCUGGGGAUGGGCCCGCGGCCUAUCAGCUUGUUGGUGGGGUAGUGGCCUACCAAGGCGACGACGGGUAGCCGGCCUGAGAGGGUGACCGGCCACACUGGGACUGAGACGCGGCCCAGACUCCUACGGGAGGCAGCAGUGGGGAAUAUUGCGCAAUGGGCGAAAGCCUGACGCAGCGACGCCGCGUGGGGGAUGACGGCCUUCGGGUUGUAAACCUCUUUCAGCAGGGACGAAGCGAAAGUGACGGUACCUGCAGAAGAAGCACCGGCCAACUACGUG